This 395-nucleotide ribosomal RNA is filed under the name uncultured Glomeromycotina. RNAcentral describes it as "SSU rRNA". It matches the Rfam family "Eukaryotic small subunit ribosomal RNA", at positions 569 to 970 of the family's 1831-position model. Lineage: Eukaryota; Fungi; Glomeromycota. The record is from RNAcentral.
AGCAGCCGCGGUAAUUCCAGCUCCAAUAGCGUAUAUUAAAGUUGUUGCAGUUAAAAAGCUCGUAGUUGAAUUUUAGGCCUGGCCAGGCGGUCCGUCUUUGGCGAGUACUGUUCUGUGUCGGGUCUUACCUUCUGGUAAACCGGCAUGUUCUUUUAUUGUGUGUGCCGUGGGAACCAGACCAUUACCUUGAAAAAAUUAGAGUGUUUAAAGCGGGCUUUUGCUUGAAUAGAUUAGCAUGGAAUAAUAAAAUAGGACGUUGGUUCUAUUUUGUUGGUCUAGGACCACCGUAAUGAUUAAUAGGGAUAGUUGGGGGCAUUAGUAUUCAAUUGUCAGAGGUGAAAUUCUUGGAUUUAUUGAAGACUAACUAUUGCGAAAGCAUUUGCCAAGGAUGUUUU